GACGAACGCUGGCGGCGCGCUUAACACAUGCAAGUCGAACGGAAAGGCCUGCUUUCCCUUGUGGAUUGCGGGUACUCGAGUGGCGAACGGGUGAGUAACACGUGAGUGGUCUGCCCCCAACUUGGGUAUAAGCCUGGGAAACUGGGUCUAAUUCCCGAUAGGACUGCAGGGUGGUGCCUGUGGUGGAAAACGAUUUUCUAGUGGUUGGGGAUGAGCUCGCGGCCUAUCAGCUUGUUGGUGGGGUAAUGGCCUACCAAGGCGGCGACGGGUAGCCGGCCUGAGAGGGUGGACGGCCACAUUGGGACUGAGAUACGGCCCAGACUCCUACGGGAGGCGGCAGUGGGGAAUAUUGCACAAUGGGCGGAAGCCUGAUGCAGCGACGCCGCGUGGGGGAUGACGGCCUUCGGGUUGUAAACUCCUUUCGACCGCGAGGAAGCCACCUGGUUGGAAGGGUGGUGACGGUAGUGGUAGAAGAAGCACCGGCUAACUACGUG
RNAcentral lists this ribosomal RNA (494 nucleotides) under uncultured bacterium. RNAcentral describes it as "partial 16S ribosomal RNA". It matches the Rfam family "Bacterial small subunit ribosomal RNA", at positions 28 to 507 of the family's 1533-position model. The record is from RNAcentral.